CACACAUUUACUGUUUUAUUUACUUUAUUUAAUGAACUGUAUGAAAUUAAUUGUUCUUUUGUAAUUUAUUUGUGGAACUGAAUAUCCAGCCCUUUCUCCUUCCCAGAACAUGAAAUCGCUUCGCUGUGUCACGUCUUUCGGUGUCUGUUACCAACACGCAUGGCGCCAUUCACAUGAGUUAUCUGGAUCUAAUGAGGCUGAGUGUUUCUCCCGCAGCUGAAUGUGAACCACGAUAUUAUUCUACAAACCCUGCCGGGCUGUAAACACACACACACACGCAGGAUGAACCAACCAAUUACUGAAUUAUGCAGAUGUAGAAAACAGACGAGGAUUAUAUUCUUGUUAAUUGUAUACUGGAGACGGAUCGCCGGCAGGAAGAGGAACAAACACAACUGCAGUCAGGCUGAAACUAAAUAUCUGAAUCUCCUUCAGACUGCAGGAUUCGUAUUAUUGAAACAUGAAACAAGCGAGGAUCUUUUUGAAACUGAAGGAUUUCUUUUUCUUUCUUUCUUUCUUUCUUUCUUCUGCCAAUAAAGAGCAUUUUUGUCAGUCUUAACAUGCUCGAAAACUUACAAAAAAGCAAA
Molecule: long non-coding RNA, 584 nt
Organism: Micropterus salmoides (largemouth bass)
Lineage: Eukaryota; Metazoa; Chordata; Actinopteri; Centrarchiformes; Centrarchidae
Exons: 2
Source: RefSeq, a predicted model, not a curated record